UUGAGUAACCCCAGGGUGCACCCUGGACGAUGAGGCGGGGCGACACUUCUUGGCGGAGCGACACGUGUCGUGCCGCCCAUAUUUGUUCCCCCCGCCUUUGGCAUUUUCUUCCGACCCAGCAGGGGGCAGUUAGCGUUGAAACGGUGGCAACUGCGGCAGCAGAGUAAUAAUAACCAAGUUGAUUGCAUGAGGUGAAAGCAAAGAGUUCUUUGGUAGAAGUGUUCAGAAAAAGUGGAAGUAACGAUUUGAACUGUUGCCUAAGAAUCAUAAGGCACAUCGCUUUCUGCAUGGAUGUCAAUGUGUUGCUAAUUCCUACGUGAUAGUGACCUGGCUUUCACUACAUUCUUGUUUUUCUGGGUUGUCUUUUUUGAAACAUUGCAAAACUCAUCGACAGCAGAAAUUGGACGAGAAACUGCCAAUACAUUUGAAGUGAAACAUUUUAUAUACAUGCUAACAAAAGUCUGUUUCAUUACAUAAAUUAUAACAUUUACAAUAAUUGAUGUGAUGGUAAUCUGUAAAGGUAAAACUAUGUGCUUGUUUUCAUCCAAACCUCACAGGGAAUCCCGAAGCAGAUCGGUGGGAACCACUUUGGGAUUAUCAUACUAAUGAAUGAUGCCUCUGAUUAGUAGGUGGUGGUGUUUUGUUCUCCUGGACAAUCACUCAACCACUAAGGGGGGUCUUAACUAUUUAAAAGGCAAUGUCUUCAGGCAGAGUCCAGUGAAGUGACUCUGCGUAUUUGACACUUUCUCUGGGAUGCAGAUGGUUUAUGGAUGUGGUCACUCAAGAUGUUUUUCAGAAAGCAGUGCAACACUUUACAUGGCCAGCCGCCAGACGACUUUAAGGUGUGGCCAUCUGGAAGAAUUUCAGUCCUGUCUACUGGACAGAGUUUAGAUUGUGUACAGCGUCAGGGAAUGCUUGCAGUGCAGAGCCCUUUUCAAGUCAUACCCACCAGGGUUUAGGGCAGGAGUGGGGAACCCUGGGUCCUGGAGGGCCACUGUCCUGCAGAGUUUAGUUCCAACCCUAAUCAAACACACCUGAAUUUAAUUUCCAAGUGAUCGUGAAGACUUGAAUUAGAUUUUUCAGGUGUGUUUAAUUAGGGUUGGAACAAAACUCUGCAGGACAAUGGCCCUCCAGGACCAGGGUUCCCCACCCCUGGUUUAGGGGAAGAGGCCGACGUGGUGAACUUCUGGGCUUUUACUGAAAUGUUUGCACAGGAUUUUGCUUCCAGGACUGUUUUUUUUUUGCGGCAGAAAACUCAUUGGUGUGUUAAGCGAGAAUGAACUGAGAUCAACUGGUUUUGAUGUAUGAAUUAAUAAUUUAAAGUUAAACUGUGAAGUGUAUAGUGUUCUAAUAAAAAAGCUAUGGCAAACACGUGCAUGAAAACAA
Non-coding RNA from Misgurnus anguillicaudatus (oriental weatherfish), 1386 nucleotides. NCBI's taxonomy places the organism in Eukaryota, Metazoa, Chordata, Actinopteri, Cypriniformes, Cobitidae. The record is from RefSeq and is a predicted model, not a curated record.